CAACCCCCGUUUAUGUCUCGCUUUCGAUCGAAUCAGCCCCAUUUGCAUACUUCAACUAACUGCAUAUCUCGCCAGGGGAGUCAGUAGUCGGGGUCCUUCUUCCUCUCUCUCUCUCUCUCUCUUCACGUUGAAACCAUUUUCUAGAGAGAGAAAGUUCGUUUCUCUCUCUCUCUCUCUCUCUUUUCCUCUUCUCUUCUCCCUACGACCCAAAAAAAAAAAAAACCCAAAAACCAAUAAAAAUCAAUGAGAGAGAAAGAGAGGAUUUGAAGAAUGGAGUUCGUCGGGAGAAGUGUGAGGAAAGAGUUGAAAGGCGUCGUCGGAACUGUGAAAUCCUACUCCGCCUCCUCCGGCUUCUUCCAGGUCCUCUUUGAAGACGGAAAUUCCGAACAAUUGGACUCGGCCCAGCUCUCUCUCCUCCUCCUCGCCGACCCCGCCCCGGCCCGAAAACCCAAGAAACGACGCCGUACAGGUAAUUCUGAUCCCAAUUACAGAGGGGAGGAUGAGCAUGCUAGCAGUAAUUCUAGUCCAGAAAAGGAGCAGGGGAUUGAUUUGAAUGCGGGCUUUAAUUUUAGCUUAAAUGAUGCUGCUGACCUGAAUGUUGGUGAGGAGAGAGAUUGUAUUGAUUUGAAUUUGGAUGCCAGCGGUUGUGAUUCUGUUGACAAUUUCGAUGGGCCUAGUUUGGGCCAAGGGACCAAGCGGAGGGGUUGCGAUUUCGAUUUGAAUUUGGAGGUUGCUGAGGAGGGGGACAGUGAAGACAAGUUUAAAAUUAGUCCCAAGUUUGAGAGGAUUGAAGAGAGUCGAAGCAGCGGAGACGCCCAAGGAAAUGUUGCUGAGGAUGGGAAUGUUAAUGAGACCCGGAAGCAAGUGUGUAUUGAUAUUAAUCAAGAAGUUCCCUUGAAUGGCAUUGAGUGUGCUGCUGUUGGGGAAGGACUCGGUAAUGAGAACCGGUGGUCCAGUGGAGAUAUGAAGGUCGAAUCUUCUCUUGGGGAUUUGAAUGCUAGUGCUGUUAAGGAUAACGGUAUGGUGGAAGAUGGUCCUUCUGAAGCUGCUACUCCAGUGACUCAUGGGCACCCAGGCGAUUCAGCAAGUCCAAGCAUUCAAAAAAGUAGCCGAAGGAAGAGAAGAAGGCUACCGGAUAAUUUGAUGUCUAAUUCUACAGAGACAGUUUUGAGGAGAAGUUCUCGCAGAGGAUCUGCUCGGAAUCAUGUUUCCGUUGCAUCAUCUGCCGUUAGUAAUCCUGUGUCCUCUUCUGCAGCUACUGCAGUAACAGAGGACGUACCGGUGAUUUCUGGCAGUGAAGAAGCCGAUCAGCCUAGUGUUGCCCCUCAGAAGCUCGGAUUACCUCCUUCGUCACAACGUUUGAAUUUAGAGGGCAUUCCCGUACUUGACCUUUUUUCUAUUUAUGCCUGUUUGAGAUCAUUUAGUACAAUAUUGUUUCUGAGUCCCUUCAAGUUGGAGGAUUUUGUGAGAGCACUGCAAUGCAACUCUCCUAGUUUGUUAUUUGAUUCUGUUCAUGUUUCUAUUUUGCAAACGCUAAGAAAGCAUUUGGAGUCCCUUUCAAAUGAAGGUUCCGAAUCUGCUUCUGAUUGUCUAAGGAGUCUUAAUUGGGAUUUCCUGGACUUAAUUACGUGGCCAGUUUUCAUGGUUGAGUACUUUCUGAUUCAUUGUUCAGGACUGAAACCUGGAUUUGACCUCGGUCACUUUAAGCUAUUAAAAAGUGACUACUACAGUCAGCCUGCUUCUCUAAAGGUUGAGAUUCUUCGCUGUCUAUGUGAUGAUUUGAUAGAAGGGGAAGCCAUAAAGUCGGAGAUUAAUAGAAGGUGUUCGACAUCUGAACAUGACAUGGGUUUUGAUCGUGAUGUAAACUUUGACGUCUGCAAGAAAAGGAAGGCUUCUGCGCAAAUUGCUGGUAGCUCCAGUUUGAAUGAUGAAAAUGUUGAUGAAACCCCUGACUGGAAUAGUGAUGAAUGUUGCCUCUGUAAGAUGGAAGGGAACUUAAUAUGCUGUGAUGGCUGUCCAGCAGCUUACCAUUCAAGAUGUGUGGGAGUUGUCAAUGAUCUUUUGCCGGAGGGUGAUUGGUAUUGCCCUGAAUGUAUGAUUGAUAGGCACAAACCUUGGAUGAAACUCCGCAAGUCACUGCGAGGUGCAGAGCUAUUAGGAAUUGAUCCUCAUGGUCGGCUAUAUUUUAAAAGCUGCGGCUACCUGUUGGUAUCUGGUUUUUGUGAUGAUGAAUCUGCAUUUAAUUACUAUCACAGAGAUGAUCUAAACAAGAUUAUUGAAGUGUUAAGGUCUUCAGAAUUUUCCUAUGGUGGGAUAUUAUUGGGAAUCUAUAAGCACUGGGACAUUCCUACUACCUUUAAUGGAGCAAUUAGUAGCAAGCCCCUGGACCAAUUGGAAUUUUCAGAAACAGGUGAUGCUAAAAAUGAGACGCAUGAGGAUAGAAAACUGCAAGAGAAGUUUUGUAAUCUCGUUUCUGAUGUUUCAAAUUCUGUUCAAGUGCUGAGAAGGACUGUCAUUCAGGAUGAUUCAAAUAAUCUUGCUGAUAUUUCAAAUCAAUCAGAUUUGGUCAGAAAACUGCCUGAAGACUGUUCUUUGACAUCUACUUGCUUAGAUGUCAGACAAGAGAGCAACGGUUCUAUUGAUCUUGGAAAAAUUUCAUCUGCUAUAACCACUAGAAAAGAGGGCACUUCAGAAGUGGAUUGUGGAAUUGAUUACAUGAACUACUACAGUUUUGGCCAAAUUGCUUCAUCUGUUGCAGAGGAGUUGUCUAAAUCAUCAGAAAAGAAUAAGGAAGGUGCACUAAAUACAGUAGAUGAAAUAAUAUCUGCGCAGAUGAAGACCAUUAUAAAAAAAUCUUCCAAGUUUUCCUGGCCAAAUAUUGAGAACUUAAAUAUAGAUGUGCAGAAAGAGAAAUGUGGGUGGUGCUUUUCUUGCAAAUAUCCUGCUGAUGAUAGGGAUUGCUUGCUUAUCAUGAGUAAGCUGCCUUUACAGGAUGUUUCCAAGACUGAUGUAGUUGGACUUCAAUUGAAAAAUAUUCCCAAAGAUCAUCUUAAUGAUGUCAGCUGUCAAAUUUUGUCCAUUCAUGAUCGCCUGCUUGGGCUUCUGUUGGGUCCGUGGUUGAACCCCCAUCAUACAGAAUACUGGCGGAAUAGUCUUCUUAAUGCAUGCGAUCUUGCCUCUGUUAAGCAUUUACUGCUCCUUCUAGUGGAAAAUUUGCAUCAUCGUGCAUUGUCCGCAGAUUGGUUGAAACAUGUGGACUCUGUUGUUACCAUGGGUUCAGCUUCUCAUGUUGUGACUUCAUUACGUGCAUACUCAAAGAACAUGAACAGCAGAAAGAGGCCCAAGUUUUCUGAUAUUGAUUCAAAUCCAUCUUCAAAUGCCGGCAGUGGAUUGGGAAUGUUUUGGUGGAGGGGUGGCAGGCUUUCUCGUCAGGUGUUUGGUUGGAAGAUUUUGCCUCGCUCCUUGACUUCUAAGGCUGCCAGACAAGGUGGGUGCACAAAAAUAAUGGGAAUAUUGUAUCCUGAGAAUUCAGAAUAUGCAAAGAGAAGCAAAUAUAUUGCCUGGCGAGCUACUGUUGAGAUGUCGACUAGUGCAGAACAGCUUGCUUUGCAGGUUAGGGAGCUUUAUUCAAACAUUAGGUGGGAUGAUAUUGAGAACACACACCCGCUGCCUACAUUGGACAAGGAAUCUACAAAAUCAAUCAAGCUUUUCAGGAAAGUUAUUGUCCGCAGGAAGUGCUCAGAAAAGGGAGUGGUUAAGUAUCUUCUUGAUUUUGGCAAGAGAAGAGCAAUCCCCGACAUUGUCAGGAAACAUGGUUCUGUGCUUGAAGAACCAUCUAAUGAGAGGAAAAAGUAUUGGCUUGAAGAAUCAUAUCUUCCUCUGCAUCUUUUGAAAAAUUUUGAGGAGAGAAGAAUUGCCCGCAAGUCUAGUGAUGGGAAGUCUGGUAAAGUUCUUGCAGUUGGUAGAGUAAUGCGGCCCCCGGAUGAAAAGGGAUUUGCUUAUUUGUUUUCCAAAGCAGAAAGAUCAGAGUAUUAUAAGUGUGGACACUGCCACAAAGAUGUCCUGAUAAGGGAAGCUGUGAGUUGUCAAUUGUGCAGAGGAUUUUUCCACAAAAGGCAUGCGAAGAAGUCUGCUGGGGCCAUUGUUUCCGAGUGUACGUAUACAUGCCACCGAUGCCAGAAUGGGGUCUCUGCGAAGAUUGAUACAAAAAGAGGGAAAGCUGAUAAAAAGAGAGGAAAAGUUGGUAUGAAAAGAGGGAAAGUUGAAACAAAAAUAGAGAAAGUACAGUCACAGAAAUGUAAAAAUUCUCAAACUGAUCGUAGAUCACUGCGUUUGAGAAGCAAAAGAAAAGCUUUAGCUGGAGGAAGACAGGUACAAUUGAAAAAUAGCAAAAAGGUUCCUGUAAGUGUACCUUUACGCCGCUCUCCAAGGAAAGCUAAAUGCUUGACGUUGCAAAAUAAAAAGCAUAGCAAACGCAAGAAAGGGAAACAAAGCAAAUCCAAGAAGCGGACGUAUAAGAAACCAAAGACAGGGACCUUGUGUCAGAAGAAGAGAACACAAGUUUAUCGCAGUUACUGGCUAAAUGGUCUGCAGUUGUCUAGAAAGCCAAAUGAUAAACGUGUUAUGCUUUUUAGGGAGAAAAAACUACUUGCUCACUGUGGCUGUUCUUCUAUCGUUCUCGGUCAACUCAAAUGCCAGCUCUGUUGUGAAGCAGAAUAUGCAUCUACUUUAGAUUAUAUCGGGUGUGAACUAUGUGGAGAGUGGUUUCAUGGGGAGGCUUUUGGGCUGGAUUCAGAGAACAUUGAUAAGCUCAUUGGAUUCAGGUGCCAUGUGUGUCGUAAAACAGAACCUCCUGUCUGCCCCCAUCUGGUAGUUGUGAAAACUGAUGUGUCCCAAUUGGCUGAAGCUCAAACUGAUGGUUCUGUUGAUUGUUCAGAGGAAGUACCUAAUGCAGUCCCGACUUUGAGUGAGAUUACAUGCAAAUGAGUUAAUUUGGCAUUGCAAGAUGGGUUCUUCAUUGGGUAUGCGAUCCGAUUCAUGUGAUCGUAGAUGGAGGGAUUCUUAUUGGUGGGGGCACUUGCAUAAUUUUGAAAGGAUUGGGUUUCACAUUUCUUCCAAUCAAGAUUUUUGACAAGGAGAGAGCGUUUUGAUUAGGAGAAGUGGAAGGUCAGAAGGUACAUCCAUGCAAUGAAGAAAUUUGUGGCGAUGAGGCUAUAUAUCAAGAACCAUCAUUAUGAGCAAAUGAAUUGACAGAACAGGCCAAAUUGGUUAAAUUGGAAACUCCUCAGAAUGGGUUCCAGGGAGGGACUUUUUAUAGAGUUGCCUGACAACAUUUGAUUCGGUUGUAGAAGAUCCAGUUUUUUUUUUUUUUUUUUUCAAUCCUGGUCUGAUCGAUAUUAGUUCAUUUAGCUGUUGUUAAUAUUAUAAUUCUUGCAAUUAAAUCUGAGUAGGGUAGAGAUGGAAAAUAGUUCUGUUUUAGGAGAUGGGUAGGCAUUUUAGACGAUAUACAAUUUUUUCUCAGUCAAAGUAGAUGGACGAUAGUAGCAGUUAGAUAUUAGGUUGCCAUGGUGUUUCGUUUUAGGAUGGGGUAGACAAUAGACAUGUUAGAUGAUUUGCAUUUUUUUCUCUAAGUCGUGGUAGACAAUGUGAUCACUGAACUUGGCCAUGGUGUUCCUAAUGUUGCCAUCUAAUUGGCUCCCCCUUUCUGUGUCCCAAGCGUUCCAUUUGGAUCAGCUGGGAGGGGGUUGUUGUUGUGGUUUUGCAUUGUAGACUUUCUUUUCAUUAAAAAAAAAAGUAAAUGGACAAUAGUAGUAGUUAGAUCUUAGAUUCUUAAAUGAAGUCGCAAGGCUUCUCAAGUCUGUUAAGAUUUGUAUUGAUUUUAGUGGUAUGUUCUAGGAUCUGGGAAUUCAGCUUCGACUUAUUUUACUGACAGAAGGUUGCAUACA
Molecule: RNA transcript, 5945 nt
Organism: Rosa chinensis
Lineage: Eukaryota; Viridiplantae; Streptophyta; Magnoliopsida; Rosales; Rosaceae
Gene name: DDT domain-containing protein PTM
Exons: 11
Source: RefSeq, a predicted model, not a curated record